RNAcentral lists this long non-coding RNA (1318 nucleotides) under Brassica rapa (field mustard). RNAcentral's name for it is "long non-coding RNA (BRAP_LNC000838)". Lineage: Eukaryota; Viridiplantae; Streptophyta; Magnoliopsida; Brassicales; Brassicaceae. The record is from RNAcentral.
UAUAUAUAUAUAUAUAUAUUUAUAUAUGGAUAUACGCUUCCAACACGUACCCGCUUCCUAAUAUUUAAAAAAAUCUCGCUUCUGCGCUUCCUUACGCUUCCGCUUCCACGUACCCGCUUCCGUUUCCAUGUAACAUAGGUAGAAAAUCGGAUCUACGAAUAUAACCGCUUUGAACCGGUUAAGAAAAUAACAUUUCUAAAUGGUACGAGGUUUGGAUCGUGCAAGGAAGGCGAAGCUGUGGAGGUAGAAAGCCAUUGGCUAAUGCAUGACUGCAUGUGACCGUCAAAUCUCUUUGUCCAACAAAUUACGCUUUUUAGUUAUAUUAUUUUGAUUGAGUAGGAUGUAUUAUUAGUGUUGUCGCAUCACUAGUUGAUUUAAUUAUAAUGUUAUAUAUUCGUGAUAUAAAGAAAUUAUGUGUUUGAUCAAAAAAGAAAAUACAGAAAAUUUUACGUUAGUCACCAAUAUUUUGCUUUGUAGUAAUAUCGUAUGUACAUAAAUCCAGUUUCAGAAAUUGAAAGAAAAGGAAAGAAAAAAAAUAAAGAGACAGUAGAAAAGAAGCGAUAGAGAAAUCAUCAUCUAGAAACCGAAAAAGGGGAAAACAAAAAAAAGAACGGUUAGCUUUGCUGCAAGUUUCGAUCUAAAAGCUUCGCUUUAAAUGGAAAGUCCUGAUAUCAUGCGCAUUGAGAUAUUGCAUACAAUCAUGCUUUUUCCUUUCUCCCAAAAUUACUAUUCAUUCAUUUGUAAAUCCAUUUCUCAUAAUAUGAUACAAAAAGAAUAUCAUAAGUGGGAUAUAUAUGAACCAGUGAUCUGCCAAUAAUCAAAAUUGCAGAUAUAUAUCCCACUUAAUCCCUUUGGAAAAAAAAAACUUAUGGAAGUGGAGAAAUGAAGGAUCUGGUAUAUAUAAAGAAAUUAUUCUCUGUGUGAAAGAAAAAAAAAAAAGAAAUUAUUCUCUAUUGUGGCGGAAGUAUCUUUAUUACAUAGUCUAGUUGUAAGCAACUAUAAGCUCAUAGAAGAAAAAAAAACUAUAAGCUUAUACGACCAAAAAAAAAUUAUGCUAUGAUUUAGGUUUGAGACCAAAUUCAAAAAAAUAAUUAAUGAGAUUCAUGUCCUCAAUUUGAGGUGGAAGAGACUCACACGCUUUUUCCAAACAAUCAUAGUAGUACAUUGAACCAAAGACAUCAUUUAUAUAUGUAUGGUUAAUCGAGUUUUUAUAUAUUUUUAGUCAUUUGGGUAAUCUCUACGUACGUAUGUAGGGUUGAAACUUUUUAAGAGCAUUAAGGGUAUAGAAAAACAAUACAUACUAAAGACAAGAAGAAUC